RNAcentral lists this ribosomal RNA (312 nucleotides) under Vibrio sp. S2059. RNAcentral's name for it is "bacterial SSU rRNA". It matches the Rfam family "Bacterial small subunit ribosomal RNA", at positions 530 to 853 of the family's 1533-position model. Lineage: Bacteria; Pseudomonadati; Pseudomonadota; Gammaproteobacteria; Vibrionales; Vibrionaceae. The record is from RNAcentral.
UGGGUCUAGCGUUAUCGGAUUCUGGGCGUAAAGCGUGGUUUGUUAAGUAGAUGUGAAAGCCCGGGGCUCAACCUCGGAAUAGCAUUUGAAACUGGCAGACUAGAGUACUGUAGAGGGGGGUAGAAUUUCAGGUGUAGCGGUGAAAUGCGUAGAGAUCUGAAGGAAUACCGGUGGCGAAGGCGGCCCCCUGGACAGAUACUGACACUCAGAUGCGAAAGCGUGGGGAGCAAACAGGAUUAGAUACCCUGGUAGUCCACGCCAUACACGAUGUCUACUUGGAGGAUGUGGCAUUGAGCCAUGGCUUAAGGAGCU